Nilaparvata lugens (brown planthopper) is the source of this 782-nucleotide long non-coding RNA. RefSeq lists it as uncharacterized. Lineage: Eukaryota; Metazoa; Arthropoda; Insecta; Hemiptera; Delphacidae. The transcript is spliced from 3 exons. The record is from RefSeq and is a predicted model, not a curated record.
CCCAGAUCGUUAUCAGAUUCAUUUUCUCACCUCUCAACUCGAGUUCCGAACCUCAUAACCAGUUGAGCUCUCGUCGAGACAACACAGCUGAGAGGAAUCAUAGGGUGGUCACCUGAGAGGAAUCAAUCAUAGCAUAAUCAUCUACACCUGUAUCCUGCUAUCUACACCUGUAUCCUGCUAUCUACACUCGAGGAGAUUCACGCAACAUCAAGCACUACAUCAUUUUCUCACCUCUCAACUCGAGUUCCGAACCUCAUAACCAGUUGAGCUCUCGUCGAGACAACACAGCUGAGAGGAAUCAAAGGACGGUCACCUGAGAGGAAUCAAUCAUAGCAUAAUCAUCUACACCUGUAUCCUGCUAUCUACACCUGUAUCCUGCUAUCUACACUCGAGGAGAUUCACGCAACAUCAAGCACUACAUGUAAGUACAGUUUUACUUUGAUUUUAUCCUCUGAGGAGGAAAAUAGUCCUCCGAGGAGAGGUUUUCUCCUCCGAGGACAGGUUUUCUCCUCCGAGGAGAAAAAACCUUCUACAAUAUACUGCAUGCAUGCGAUUUAUCUUUAGAAUAUGAUAUAUCCGGAACAUCCAAGCCCCGCUCUUCUUUCUCACACUCAUCGUAUAAACAAAACGGUAAAUGAAUUACUUUUUCAGUUGGUUCACCGAUAAUAUAUUUACAAUAGACACAUUGCAGAUAUAAUGGAUUUUUAUGUAAGAAAUAACCAUUUCUCGCAAAAUACUCUGCUUUAUUGCGUAAUGAUUUACAAAAGUCACAAUGUAGAUGG